RNAcentral lists this unclassified non-coding RNA (229 nucleotides) under plant metagenome. RNAcentral's name for it is "partial contains small subunit ribosomal RNA, internal transcribed spacer 1, and 5.8S ribosomal RNA". The record is from RNAcentral.
UCUCCGUAGGUGAACCUGCGGAGGGAUCAUUACCGAGUUCAUGCUCUACCGGGUAGAUCUCCCACCCUAUGUUAUUAUUACUUUGUUGCUUUGGCGGGCCGUUAGGCUCCGGCCCGACUACCGGCCCCGGCUGGGAAGCGCCCGCCAGAGGACCCAAAACCCUGAAUAUUAGUGUCGUCUGAGUACUAUAUAAUAGUUAAAACUUUCAACAACGGAUCUCUUGGUUCUG